RNAcentral lists this long non-coding RNA (2356 nucleotides) under Equus caballus (horse). RNAcentral describes it as "lncRNA (ENSECAG00000045025.1)". The record is from RNAcentral. Lineage: Eukaryota; Metazoa; Chordata; Mammalia; Perissodactyla; Equidae.
CUGAAUCAGAAUCAGCAGGGUGCAGGCCAGAAACAGAUGUUUCAGAAACUCUCUGGGUGAUUCUGAUGCACUGUAGUGUUUGAGAAGAACUACUUUAAAGUUUGCAGUUACUCCCAUGGACAUUGUAAGAGUUUUACCUCCAUCUUAUGAAGUAGAGAUGUUUUGAUCCAUUCUACAACGGAAUAAGAGAAGGCACAGAGAAUAUAAGUAAAUCUUCCUAGUCCAAGGAAGAAAGCUUUGAUCACUUGAAAUCCUGAAAGAGACUAAAAACGACACUGAAAUUGCCUUUGUGUGGAGAUAAUAAAUAUAAUUGGCCCAGUCAUGAAGAGUGUGCCUGUGAUAUUGGAGCAGCUGGUUAGCUAUGAUGGGAUCCAGCUGUCCCUGACACCCCACUUUAUGAAUCAACUGGAAAAGGAAAUGAGAGAGACAAGAGAGGCCAUGGAGUCAAAAGGUAAAUUGCCUUCCUCCCAUUUGAAGUCCAAACCACACCCUCAACAUCCUCCUUUGUCUUUAGCUGAAGAUAGUAUUUAAAUUGGUGACUUCAGACAUUGUGGAGACUCAUACACUGUUUUGGCGAUGGCUUUUUAAUAAAGACCUCCAGAAGAAGUUGCAGGUCCAUCUAGUUGUGGGAUGUGGGACGCCGCCUCUACGUGGCCUGAUGAGCGGUGUCAUGUCCGCACCCAGGAUCCGAACCCUGGGCCCCUGCAGUGCAGUACGUGAACUUAAUCACUCGGCCACGGAGCCGGCCCCCUACAUUUAUUUUUGAUUUAUACCAUAUUUGUAGUUAUACCCCAUUUUUCCUUUCUAAUAUUGUUUACUUUUCCUUUCUCUUUUUUUAAAUCAUCAAUCCUAUUAGAAUAAUUACAUUUUUAUUAGUCUUUCACUCACUUUAAUUUAUUCUAAGUGGCACGAAGGACCCACUAUCCACCAAAGGCUUGUGUACAGACUCCUUGCUUCUAAGUGGCCCCCUAACCAGGAACACAUUUCUCAGACUCUUCUUUCAGUGAAGUGCAUCCAUGUGAUUGAUUCUCACCAAUGUGGGCAGAGAGAUGUGUGUCGCUUCUCACCCUUCUCAUCCAUUGACUGAAUGCAGUGGACUUUCAGACCAUACAGAAGCCUGAAUCCUCAAGAGGAAGUGGCAGCUGUGGGAAUGUGCCUCUCAGAUCUCUGAGUAUGAGGAACGAGGUUGACUGAGGACCCCAGCUUCUAUGCUCUGAAAACUGUCGCUGUCUUCACACCAAGGCCAACUGUCAACCAUGCUGCCUGAAUAGUGACUGAGCUCAGCAAAGAUGCCAUGGCAGGCUCAUUCCUGAGAGAUGUGGGGCUUCUCUACGAGAGACUUUGACUUGAGGACUCCCUGUAGAUCUUGAGGAAACUUUCUUGAAUUGCCCAGAAUUCUAAGACUUUUCCUACCCAGUCUUUUUUCUCCUUCCCUCUCUCCUUUCAGAGGUCAGAAUUGCAUCAUGGUCAGAUGACUUUAGGGCCUCCUCCAGUUCCCUACACAUUUUUCCUUACCAAAUUUUCCUCAAUCUCUAAAAGGUCGAAUUCCAUCUUGGCAUCUGCUUUUCAGAGGACUCGAACUAACAUAAGUGAUGCGAAGAAUGGUAUAAGAUAAUGGGCAGUAAGAUGGGGUUCAUGGACUGGCAAAGAAGAUACCAUCCUGAGUCUCUGACACACAGUUCAUUUGCUAAAUAUUGUACUGGUAGUGAUGGGGAAAAGCAUCUUUGUGGAGGAAAAUACCCUUGUAGGUAUGAUGAUUCGGGCAUACGGAAGGUGAGAGGAGAGCAAUGCCCACAAAGGCAGUGGAGUGGUGGUUAAGGUUAUUGCUAAGUUGUAUUGACACUCUGCAGAGAGCUAAUAAAGAACCAAAGACCAUUAACAAACAGGUAAAGUCUUCAGGGUGAGAACCAGAGGGUCUCAUUGGGAGCUUACAAAGAGGCUUCUACCUCCUGCCGUGGAAGAGGGGACACAGCUGAGCAGCAGACAGUAAACAUAAGAUCUAGUAGAAUUUCAGAGCUCCAGAGACUUUAAAUACUCAGGUGGGAAGAUCUGUAAUGUUAAAGUUGGCCCUGGUUGAGAAAACUAGAGACCCUGAAACAUGGAACAGGGUAUCUUGAUAGAUGGCCUAAGGGAUGUUGGUUCUCCAGGUCCCUCUGAACCCUCAGAGAUCACAGAGGUGGAACUUCCCCUGUGUUGUGCUGGAAGACACUGUGGAAGCCCUUCUCCCCCUCAGCAGAUGCCCUCUCUUCCUCUCCUGGCUGGUAGGCUGGUGACUAGUGUCAAAUCCCUGCAUAAAAUGACUGGCCUAUUGCUGGGCCUGAUAAGAGAGGAAAGAGAUUAAUCAAAGAAGGAACAG